GACGAACGCUGGCGGCGUGCUUAACACAUGCAAGUCGAACGGAAAGGCCCUGCUUUUGUGGGGUGCUCGAGUGGCGAACGGGUGAGUAACACGUGAGUAACCUGCCCUUGACUUUGGGAUAACUUCAGGCAACUGGGGCUAAUACCUGAUAGGUGCUCCUGCUGCAUGGUGGGGGUUGGAAAGUUUCGGCGGUUGGGGAUGGACUGGCGGCUUAUUAGCUUGUUGGUGGGGUAGUGGCUUACCAAGGCUUUGAAGGGUAGCCGGCCUGAGAGGGUGACCGGCGACAAUGGGACUGAGAUACGGACCAGACUCGUACGGGAGGCAGCAGUGGGGAAUAUUGCACAAUGGGGGGAAGCCUGAGGAAGCAACGCCGCGUGCGGGAUGAAGGCCUUGGGGUGGUAAACCGCUUUCGCCUGUGACGAAGCGUGAGUGACGGUAAUGGGUAAAGAAGCACCGGCUAACUACGUG
Molecule: ribosomal RNA, 468 nt
Filed under: uncultured bacterium
Lineage: Bacteria
Description: partial 16S ribosomal RNA
Rfam family: Bacterial small subunit ribosomal RNA
Source: RNAcentral